Molecule: ribosomal RNA, 484 nt
Filed under: uncultured bacterium
Lineage: Bacteria
Description: partial 16S ribosomal RNA
Rfam family: Bacterial small subunit ribosomal RNA
Source: RNAcentral
AUUGAACGCUGGCGGCAGGCCUAACACAUGCAAGUCGAGCGGAUGAAGGGAGCUUGCUCCUGGAUUCAGCGGCGGACGGGUGAGUAAUGCCUAGGAAUCUGCCUGGUAGUGGGGGAUAACGUCCGGAAACGGGCGCUAAUACCGCAUACGUCCUGAGGGAGAAAGUGGGGGAUCUUCGGACCUCACGCUAUCAGAUGAGCCUAGGUCGGAUUAGCUAGUUGGUGGGGUAAAGGCCUACCAAGGCGACGAUCCGUAACUGGUCUGAGAGGACGAUCAGUCACACUGGAACUGAGACACGGUCCAGACUCCUACGGGAGGCAGCAGUGGGGAAUAUUGGACAAUGGGCGAAAGCCUGAUCCAGCCAUGCCGCGUGUGUGAAGAAGGUCUUCGGAUUGUAAAGCACUUUAAGUUGGGAGGAAGGGCAGUAAGUUAAUACCUUGCUGUUUUGACGUUACCAACAGAAUAAGCACCGGCUAACCUCGUG